Molecule: non-coding RNA, 477 nt
Organism: Dama dama (fallow deer)
Lineage: Eukaryota; Metazoa; Chordata; Mammalia; Artiodactyla; Cervidae
Source: the annotation of a RefSeq genome assembly
AAAGAAAGGGCAAGGUCAUAUCUUUCUUCAGAGAGUUGUGGUGUGAGGCCAGUUCCUGAAGAUGCUGGUGCUUCUGCUGCUUCUGGGACCCAGCUCUGGCCUUGGCGCUCUCGUCUCUCAGCAGCCCCGCAGAGCUGUCAGGAAGAGUGGCGACUCUGUGACCAUCCAGUGCCGUGCAGUGGACUUCCAAGCCACAGCUGUGUUCUGGUACCGUCAGCUCCCGAAACAAGGCCUCGUGCUGAUGGCAACUUCUAAUGUGGGCACUGAUGCCACAUACGAACAAGGUUAUAACAAAGACAAGCUUCCCAUCAGUCAGCCAAACCUAACAUUUUCAUCUCUGAAGGUGACAAGUGUGGAUCCUGCCGACAGCAGCCUCUACUUCUGUGGUGCUAGAGACACAGCGCUGGGUGGAGAUCAGAGACCCAGACAAGAAUCUUGGUAGCAUCCCCCUUCCCCAUCCCACUGAACCAUGCGGCC